UUUCCGUAGGUGAACCUGCGGAAGGAUCAUUGCAGAGUUCAUGCCCUCACGGGUAGAUCUCCCACCCUUGAAUAUUUAUACCUUAGUUGCUUUGGCAGGCCGUGGAAACACUAUGGGCUCCGGCUUAUGCGUGCCUGCCAGAGGAAACAAACUCUGUUUUUAGUGAUGUCUGAGUACUAUAUAAUAGUUAAAACUUUCAACAACGGAUCUCUUGGUUCUG
RNAcentral lists this unclassified non-coding RNA (220 nucleotides) under plant metagenome. RNAcentral describes it as "partial contains small subunit ribosomal RNA, internal transcribed spacer 1, and 5.8S ribosomal RNA". The record is from RNAcentral.